RNAcentral lists this ribosomal RNA (253 nucleotides) under uncultured bacterium. RNAcentral describes it as "partial 16S ribosomal RNA". It matches the Rfam family "Bacterial small subunit ribosomal RNA", at positions 524 to 776 of the family's 1533-position model. The record is from RNAcentral.
UACGUAGGUGGCAAGCGUUGUCCGGAAUUAUUGGGCGUAAAGCGCGCGCAGGCGGUUCUUUAAGGCUGAUGUGAAAGCCCACGGCUCAACCGUGGAGGGUCAUUGGAAACUGGGGAACUUGAGUACAGAAGAGGAAAGCGGAAUUCCACGUGUAGCGGUGAAAUGCGUAGAGAUGUGGAGGAACCCCAGUGGCGAAGGCGGCUUUCUUGUCUGUAACUGACGCUGAGGCGCGAAAGCGUGGGGAGCAAACAGG